AUUGAACGCUGGCGGCAUGCUUUACACAUGCAAGUCGAACGGAUCUAGGGGCUUGCUCCUAGGUUAGUGGCGAACGGGUGAGUAAUGCAUCGGAACGUACCGUGUAGUGGGGGAUAACCCGGCGAAAGUCGGAUUAAUACCGCAUACGAUCUACGGAUGAAAGCGGGGGACCUUCGGGCCUCGCGCUAUACGAGCGGCCGAUGUCGGAUUAGCUAGUUGGUGAGGUAAAGGCUCACCAAGGCGACGAUCCGUAGCGGGUCUGAGAGGAUGAUCCGCCACACUGGGACUGAGACACGGCCCAGACACCUACGGGAGGCAGCAGUGGGGAAUUUUUGGACAAUGGGGGCAACCCUGAUCCAGCCAUGCCGCGUGAGUGAAGAAGGCCUUCGGGUUGGUUAAAGACGU
RNAcentral lists this ribosomal RNA (405 nucleotides) under uncultured bacterium. Its description in RNAcentral is "bacterial SSU rRNA". It matches the Rfam family "Bacterial small subunit ribosomal RNA", at positions 30 to 435 of the family's 1533-position model. The record is from RNAcentral.